RNAcentral lists this transfer RNA (88 nucleotides) under Desulfuromonas sp. RNAcentral describes it as "tRNA-Ser". It matches the Rfam family "tRNA". Rfam says of the family: Transfer RNA (tRNA) molecules are approximately 80 nucleotides in length. The record is from RNAcentral. Lineage: Bacteria; Pseudomonadati; Thermodesulfobacteriota; Desulfuromonadia; Desulfuromonadales; Desulfuromonadaceae.
GGUGGGCUGGCCGAGUGGUUGAAGGCAGCGGUCUUGAAAACCGCCGUACGGAAACGUACCCGGGGUUCGAAUCCCUGGCCCACCGCCA